GCAUAUCAAUAAGCGGAGGAAAAGAAACCAACAGGGAUUGCCUCAGUAACGGCGAAGUGAAGCGGCAACAGCUCAAAUUUGAAAUCUGGCCCCAGGCCCGAGUUGUAAUUUGCAGAGGAUGCUUUUGGCGCGGUGCCUUCCGAGUUCCCUGGAACGGGACGCCAUAGAGGGUGAGAGCCCCGUCUGGUUGGACACCAAGCCUUUGUAAAGCUCCUUCGACGAGUCGAGUAGUUUGGGAAUGCUGCUCUAAAUGGGAGGUACAUGUCUUCUAAAGCUAAAUACCGGCCAGAGACCGAUAGCGCACAAGUAGAGUGAUCGAAAGAUGAAAAGCACUUUGGAAAGAGAGUUAAACAGCACGUGAAAUUGUUAAAAGGGAAGCGUUUAUGACCAGACGUGGGCCGGUUAAUCAUCCAGCGUUCUCGCUGGUGCACUUUGCCGGUCCAGGCCAGCAUCAGUUCGCUGCGGGGGAUAAAGGCUUUGGGAAUGUAGCUCCUCGGAGUGUUAUAGCCCUCUGCGUAAUACCCUGCGGCGGACUGAGGUUCGCGCUCUGCAAGGAUGCUGGCGUAAUGGUCAUCAACGACCCGUCUUGAAACACGGACCAAGGAGUCGUCUUCGUAUGCGAGUGUUCGGGUGUAAAACCCCUACGCGAAAUGAAAGUGAACGCAGGUGAGAGCUUCGGCGCAUCAUCGACCGAUCCUGAUGUUCUCGGAUGGAUUUGAGUAAGAGCAUACGGGGCCGGACCCGAAAGAAGGUGAACUAUGCCUGUAUAGGGUGAAGCCAGAGGAAACUCUGGUGGAGGCUCGCAGCGGUUCUGACGUGCAAAUCGAUCGUCAAAUAUGGGCAUGGGGGGCGAAAGACUAAUCGAACCUUCUAGUAGCUGGUUUCCGCCGAAG
This 893-nucleotide ribosomal RNA is filed under the name Striatibotrys eucylindrosporus. RNAcentral describes it as "LSU rRNA". It matches the Rfam family "Eukaryotic large subunit ribosomal RNA", at positions 38 to 966 of the family's 3401-position model. The record is from RNAcentral. Lineage: Eukaryota; Fungi; Ascomycota; Sordariomycetes; Hypocreales; Stachybotryaceae.